GGGGAAUAUUGGACAAUGGGCGAAAGCCUGAUCCAGCCAUGCCGCGUGUGUGAAGAAGGCCUUCGGGUUGUAAAGCACUUUCAGUAGGGAGGAAGGGUGUUGUGUUAAUAGCACAGCAUUUUGACGUUACCUACAGAAGAAGCACCGGCUAACUCUGUGCCAGCAGCCGCGGUAAUACAGAGGGUGCAAGCGUUAAUCGGAAUUACUGGGCGUAAAGCGCACGUAGGCGGUUUUUUAAGUCAGAUGUGAAAGCCCCGGGCUCAACCUGGGAAUUGCAUUUGAAACUGGAAAACUAGAGUGUGUGAGAGGGGGGUAGAAUUCCAAGUGUAGCGGUGAAAUGCGUAGAGAUUUGGAGGAAUACCAGUGGCGAAGGCGGCCCCCUGGCACAACACUGACGCUCAGGUGCGAAAGCGUGGGGAGCAAAC
This 425-nucleotide ribosomal RNA is filed under the name uncultured bacterium. Its description in RNAcentral is "bacterial SSU rRNA". It matches the Rfam family "Bacterial small subunit ribosomal RNA", at positions 356 to 773 of the family's 1533-position model. The record is from RNAcentral.